GUUGCUGCAAUCUCUAUCUCUAACUAGCCUUGGACUUGUGAGGUGCCCUCUUUGCUUGAGAGGCCACUCUGUCCAUACACCCUGGGGUGUGGUAACUGAGGGGUGUCCCCAGUCAUGUUGGGAGGAAAGCAGACAGACCACAGAGUUCUGUACUGGACACAGUCUGUACAGUGCCUGACUCACAGCACUGGAGGAUUGUCCAUCCUUGUUCCCAGAGAGGGGCUAGGCCAGCCAAACCCCUCACUUCAUACUCUGACAAUGGAUCGAAGGGGCCUGGAGCAAACUGCAAUACCCCUGUCCGUGGACAUCUCCAUGUUCUGUGAGGAACCCGGUAUGAACAUGGAUGUCACAGUGAGCUCCAGGCCUUCGACUUUUGGCUGGGUCCUCCAGCGCUUCAGCAUGCACACAGACCUUUCCCAUUCUUCCACCGCUGACUCUACAGGUGGCCAUUUACUGGGGAUUGAACUCAAAGCUCUCUCACUGAGCUACAUCUCUAGACCUUUUCUAAAAAUUGUUUGUUUUGAAACAAGUUCUCGCUAAGUUGCUAAAUUGCCC
Long non-coding RNA from Heterocephalus glaber (naked mole-rat), 555 nucleotides. The record is from Ensembl. NCBI's taxonomy places the organism in Eukaryota, Metazoa, Chordata, Mammalia, Rodentia, Bathyergidae.